GUGCUCAACUCGGCAGCACAUAUACUAAAACUGGAACAACACCGAGAAGACUAGCCUGGCCCCUGCAUGAGGAGGAGACGUAAACGCUUGCAAUGUUCCAUAUUUUA
Molecule: small nuclear RNA, 107 nt
Organism: Molossus molossus (Pallas's mastiff bat)
Lineage: Eukaryota; Metazoa; Chordata; Mammalia; Chiroptera; Molossidae
Source: RefSeq, a predicted model, not a curated record